AUACUAAAAAUGGAAAUAGUUAAAAGAUAUUCUGUUGUGUGCAGUUUGCAUUUUAAAAGGAGCGAUUACAAGUUUCCUGAUGUAUCAGUUUAAUUACGAAUUUUAAAACCAGACGCUGUGCCAUCAUGUAACCUUUCCAAAA
This is an RNA transcript of Pogonomyrmex barbatus (red harvester ant), 142 nucleotides long. RefSeq lists it as uncharacterized. The record is from RefSeq and is a predicted model, not a curated record. NCBI's taxonomy places the organism in Eukaryota, Metazoa, Arthropoda, Insecta, Hymenoptera, Formicidae.